RNAcentral lists this ribosomal RNA (497 nucleotides) under uncultured bacterium. Its description in RNAcentral is "partial 16S ribosomal RNA". It matches the Rfam family "Bacterial small subunit ribosomal RNA", at positions 28 to 507 of the family's 1533-position model. The record is from RNAcentral.
GAUGAACGCUGGCGGCGUGCCUAAUACAUGCAAGUCGAGCGAACGGACGAGAAGCUUGCUUCUCUGAUGUUAGCGGCGGACGGGUGAGUAACACGUGGAUAACCUACCUAUAAGACUGGGAUAACUUCGUGAAACCGGAGCUAAUACCGGAUAAUAUUUUGAACCGCAUGGUUCAAAAGUGAAAGACGGUCUUGCUGUCACUUAUAGAUGGAUCCGCGCUGCAUUAGCUAGUUGGUAAGGUAACGGCUUACCAAGGCAACGAUGCAUAGCCGACCUGAGAGGGUGAUCGGCCACAAUGGAACUGAGACACGGUCCCGACUCCUACGGGAGGCAGCAGUAGGGAAUCUUCCGCAAUGGGCGAAAGCCUGACGGAGCAACGCCGCGUGAGUGAUGAAGGUCUUCGGAUCGUAAAACUCUGUUAUUAGGGAAGAACAUAUGUGUAAGUAACUGUGCACAUCUUGACGGUACCUAAUCAGAAAGCCACGGCUAACUACGUG